GUGCAUGGUGUCGUCAGCUCGUGUCGUGAGAUGUUGGGUUAAGUCCCGCAACGAGCGCAACCCCUAACAUUAGUUACCAGCGAGUGAAGUCGGGGACUCUAAUGUGACUGCCGUUGACAAAACAGAGGAAGGUGGGGAUGACGUCAAAUCAUCAUGC
Molecule: non-coding RNA, 157 nt
Filed under: Desulfotomaculum nigrificans CO-1-SRB
Lineage: Bacteria; Bacillati; Bacillota; Clostridia; Eubacteriales; Desulfotomaculaceae
Description: Desulfotomaculum carboxydivorans CO-1-SRB Bacterial small subunit ribosomal RNA
Rfam family: Bacterial small subunit ribosomal RNA
Source: Rfam by way of RNAcentral